Molecule: ribosomal RNA, 293 nt
Filed under: Gephyromantis leucomaculatus
Lineage: Eukaryota; Metazoa; Chordata; Amphibia; Anura; Mantellidae
Description: partial 16S ribosomal RNA
Rfam family: Archaeal large subunit ribosomal RNA
Source: RNAcentral
GUCCCGCCUGCCCAGUGACCCUGUUUAACGGCCGCAGUACUCUAACCGCGCAAAGGUAGCAUAAUCACUUGUCUUUUAAAUGAAGACUCGUAUCAACGGCAUCACGAGGGUUCCACUGUCUCCUUUUUCUAAUCAGUGAAACUAAUCUACCCGUGAAGAAGCGGGUAUAAACCUAUAAGACGAGAAGACCCCAUGGAGCUUUAAACCUAGCUGCACCCCUCCACCCUUAUAUCCUCUACUAGCCGGGACCCUCAUGCCAGGUUUUAGGUUGGGGCGACCACGGAGCAUAAUUA